GGGCACCACCAGGAGUGGAGCCUGCGGCUUAAUUUGACUCAACACGGGAAAACUCACCCGGCCCGGACACUAGGAGGAUUGACAGACUGACUAGCUCUUUCUUGAUUCAGUGGGUGGUGGUGCAUGGCCGUUCUUAGUUGGUGGAGCGAUUUGUCUGGUUAAUUCCGAUAACGAACGAGACUCUAGCCUACUAGUUAGCCGGCCCGGUCGUUAUGCGCCCGGGCAGCGAGCUUCUUAGAGGGUCAGACGGCGAGUAAGCCGUACGAGAUAGAGCAAUAACAGGUCUGUGAUGCCCUUAGAUGUUCUGGGCUGCACGCGCGCUACACUGAAGGAAUCAGCGUGUGUUCCCUACCCGAAAGGGUUGGGAAACCCGUUGAACCUCCUUCGUGAUGGGGAUUGGGGAUUGCAAUUAUUCCCCAUGAACGAGGAAUUCCCAGUAGGCGCGAGUCAUAAGCUCGCGUCGAUUACGUCCCUGCCCUUUGUACACACCGCCCGUCGCUACUACCGAUCGAGUUAUUU
This 519-nucleotide ribosomal RNA is filed under the name uncultured eukaryote. Its description in RNAcentral is "bacterial SSU rRNA". It matches the Rfam family "Eukaryotic small subunit ribosomal RNA", at positions 1162 to 1699 of the family's 1831-position model. The record is from RNAcentral.